UUAGGAAGUCUGUCAAUUGGGUCU
RNAcentral lists this non-coding RNA (24 nucleotides) under Arabidopsis thaliana (thale cress). The record is from RNAcentral. Lineage: Eukaryota; Viridiplantae; Streptophyta; Magnoliopsida; Brassicales; Brassicaceae.